UACGUAGGGGGCAAGCGUUGUCCGGAAUCAUUGGGCGUAAAGCGCGCGUAGGCGGCCCGGUAAGUCCGCUCUGAAAGUCCAGGGCUUAACCCUGGAAAGCGGGUGGAUACUGCCGGGCUUGAAUCCGGAAGAGGCGAGUGGAAUUCCUGGUGUAGCGGUGGAAUGCGCAGAUAUCAGGAGGAACACCAAUAGCGAAGGCAGCUCGCUGGGACGUGACUGACGCUGAGACGCGAAAGCGUGGGGAGCAAACAGG
Molecule: ribosomal RNA, 253 nt
Filed under: uncultured bacterium
Lineage: Bacteria
Description: partial 16S ribosomal RNA
Rfam family: Bacterial small subunit ribosomal RNA
Source: RNAcentral